Molecule: long non-coding RNA, 2243 nt
Filed under: Mastacembelus armatus (zig-zag eel)
Lineage: Eukaryota; Metazoa; Chordata; Actinopteri; Synbranchiformes; Mastacembelidae
Description: lncRNA (ENSMAMG00000025222.1)
Source: RNAcentral
AGAUGGCCUCGCUUCCUGGUUUGUCUGGUGGAUUUUGUGUCGCCAUCACUUACAUCUGACUUUGUCGUCUCAUUCUGAUUUUGUUUUUCCUGCUGAAUCCACGUCACUCACAGUGACUGACAGCAGAGGGCCAGCAAAGUGCACCUCAGACAGCAGCCAUGUUGCUCCUGGUCCAGUUACUGAUGAUGACGAUGAUGAAAACUGCCAAAACAAAGAUCAUCAUAGUAUCUGCCCUCAGCGGCGAGACUCUCCUGCUGCACCCCCAGUCAGACCUGCCGAGUCUGGGGCUGGAACACAGAUGGGACGUCAGAUGGACUCACCCCCACCUGGUGCUGUCAACAAAGAACAACCAGACCAGGUGUGACCAUGGGCGGUGCGAGCUGCUGAGCAACGGCUCCCUGAGGUUCAGCCCGGUCCAGAUCGAGGACUCAGGAAACUACAGCCUGGAGGUGUUUGACGAAGAAGGGAAACGAUUGCUGAAGAAAGACUUUCUGCUCCAGGUGGAGGACGGUGAGUCCACAACCGUGACAUCAACGAAGACGUCAGGUCUGACAUGUCCCCACUAUGAAAAACAUGAAGUCACGUUUGCAGAGACGAACAGGUAACAGUGAUGCCUCUGUCUGCAGAUGGCCAGACAGACCACGUGGCCCUGCUGAUCUGCUGCUUCCUGCUGAUGUGUCUGCUGCUGUUCUUCAGCAUCUUCAUCCUGAGGAGGAGGAGGAUUCAGAGGACGAGCGCCGCAGGCCCGUCGGGGGAAAAUGUGUACGUGAUGAUGCACGGUCACCGUGGCAACAAGAAGAGAUGCGAAGAUGAGAAGCAAGAAAGAGAGGAAGAGUCUCUCUAUGGUACACAAACUGUAACACACACACCAAAACAGAUGCUAACAGAUGCUAACAUGUUAUAUCUCUACAGUUCCCUGCAACGCGGUUGUUUCCAUGGAAACACCAAUCACCAAGCAGUUGAAUGUGGGGGCAGAAGACAUCUAUGUGUGACGACCAAUCAGAGCCCACCUUGUUUUCAGUGUGCUCACCUGGACACCAGGACUCACCUUCAUUCUGUUGUUUAUUUUUCUCUUACCUGUUGUUUUUUUAUCUUCAGAUUGAAAUACGUAUAUUAAUGUAUUUGUGAUACACAAACGUCUGGGACUGGUUAUUACGGUGGCCGAGAAGGGCAAACGCGCUGCAAAACAAAAACGCUGCAAAAGAGAAACGCUGCAAAACAGAAACGCUGCAAAACAGAAACGCUGCAAAAGAGAAACGCUGCAAAACAGAAACGCUGCAAGAGAGAAACGCUGCAAAACAGAAACGCUGCAAAAGAGAGAACACAACGGAAGUGCGCCAGGCCGAUAGGGGGACCCCGAACUGAGGGGUGCAAUGAACAAAGAACUUUUACAGAAGCGAGAGAGACACAUGUAGUGACAUAAGUCACGUCUCAUUUUGGAGGCUGCGUAAUGACGCAGGUUAUAGUGUUGAAUUGCAAAAGAAUUGAAUGAGCGACCUCUGAUGAUUGUUCUCAUGUGCUAAUAUGUGCUAACAAUGUUCUGUUACAUUUGUUCACUUGAUCAAAAUGUCAUACAACGUGGGGGGGUUGGGAAACCUGAAGGUGCGUUUUCCAUUUGUUACUUAACACUUGGCCGUCAUCUUUUACAACAUUGUACUUUUAUAAUACUGUAAAACAUGACGGCCAAGUGCUUAAAAAAUAAUAAAUGUAAAACGUACUCUAAUGCCCGCUAAAUUCACAGCCAGCAGAUGUUCUUUUGUCACUUUGCUUUAUUAAGUUUUUAGUCAGAACAGGUAACAGGUAACAGGCUACUGUUUCAGCCGUAGCCACGCUAAGUAGGGAUGGGAAUAUCGAUUCUCUGGAAUCGAUACUUCCAUACUUUGGAGUCGAUACUUUCUUAAGUAUCGCUCGAUACCACUCCUAAUAAAAAACGUGCAAUUAGUUUUCACUUCUGAGAGUUUUGGAUGUGUGAAAACCAGCCCAAGCGUAUUUUAAAUGGUCUUCCGUAUCACAUGAUUAUGGCAGCCAAUCAGAUGUCAGAGCUUUCCAGAGCCAGUCAUGCACUGCAGAAGGAAAUAUUACUCUCUCCAUUCUGCAGCGUGGAGGGACCUCCUCCGUCUCAGUGCUGACAGGCACGGCAGCAUGAAGAGAGAUAGAAAAAGAAGCAUUGUGUGGUGCUAUUUUUCACCCACUACGAAGGGAAAUGCUAUUUAUUUAUUAUCAUUUUAUUAUUAGCAUUUAAA